Molecule: ribosomal RNA, 458 nt
Filed under: uncultured bacterium
Lineage: Bacteria
Description: partial 16S ribosomal RNA
Rfam family: Bacterial small subunit ribosomal RNA
Source: RNAcentral
CCUACGGGAGGCAGCAGUGAGGAAUAUUGGUCAAUGGGCGAGAGCCUGAACCAGCCAAGUCGCGUGAGGGAGUACUGCCCUAUGGGUUGUAAACCUCUUUUGUCGGGGAGCAAAAGCCGGACGUGUCCGGCUGUGAGAGUACCCGAAGAAAAAGCAUCGGCAAACUCCGUGCCAGCAGCCGCGGUAAUACGGGGGAUGCGAGCGUUAUCCGGAUUUAUUGGGUUUAAAGGGUGCGCAGGCGGAUUUUUAAGUCAGCGGUAAAAUCGUGGGGCUCAACCCCAUCCAGCCGUUGAAACUGGGGAUCUAGAGUGUGCGAGAGGUAUGCGGAAUGCGUGGUGUAGCGGUGAAAUGCAUAGAUAUCACGCAGAACCCCGAUUGCGAAGGCAGCAUACCGGUGCACAACUGACGCUCAGGCACGAAAGCGUGGGUAUCGAACAGGAUUAGAUACCCGGGUAGUC